RNAcentral lists this ribosomal RNA (465 nucleotides) under uncultured bacterium. RNAcentral's name for it is "partial 16S ribosomal RNA". It matches the Rfam family "Bacterial small subunit ribosomal RNA", at positions 28 to 507 of the family's 1533-position model. The record is from RNAcentral.
GACGAACGCUGGCGGCGUGCUUAACACAUGCAAGUCGAACGGAAAGGCCCUGCUUGCAGGGUACUCGAGUGGCGAACGGGUGAGUAACACGUGGGUGAUCUGCCCUGCACUUCGGGAUAAGCCUGGGAAACUGGGUCUAAUACCGGAUAGGAGCCAUUUUUAGUGUGAUGGUUGGAAAGUUUUUUCGGUGUAGGAUGAGCUCGCGGCCUAUCAGCUUGUUGGUGGGGUAAUGGCCUACCAAGGCGGCGACGGGUAGCCGGCCUGAGAGGGUGGACGGCCACAUUGGGACUGAGAGACGGCCCAGACGCCGACGGGAGGAAGAAGUGGGGAAGAUUGCACAAGGGGCGCAAGCCUGAUGCAGCGACGCCGCGGGGGGGAGGACGGUCUUCGGGUUGUAAACUCCUUUCGCUAGGGACGAAGCUUUUUGUGACGGUACCUAGAUAAGAAGCACCGGCUAACUACGUG